Molecule: ribosomal RNA, 460 nt
Filed under: uncultured bacterium
Lineage: Bacteria
Description: partial 16S ribosomal RNA
Rfam family: Bacterial small subunit ribosomal RNA
Source: RNAcentral
CCUACGGGCGGCAGCAGUGAGGAAUAUUAGUCAAUGGACGAGAGUCUGAACCAGCCAAGUAGCGUGAAGGAUGACUGCCCUAUGGGUUGUAAACUUCUUUUAUAUGGGAAUAAAAUGUUCCACGUGUGGGAUUUUGUAUGUACCAUAUGAAUAAGGAUCGGCUAACUCCGUGCCAGCAGCCGCGGUAAUACGGAGGAUCCGAGCGUUAUCCGGAUUUAUUGGGUUUAAAGGGAGCGUAGGUGGAUUGUUAAGUCAGUUGUGAAAGUUUGCGGCUCAACCGUAAAAUUGCAGUUGAAACUGGCAGUCUUGAGUACAGUAGAGGUGGGCGGAAUUCGUGGUGUAGCGGUGAAAUGCUUAGAUAUCACGAAGAACUCCGAUUGCGAAGGCAGUUCACUGGACUGCAACUGACACUGAGGCUCGAAAGUGUGGGUAUCAAACAGGAUUAGAUACCCCUGUAGUC